This 29-nucleotide non-coding RNA is filed under the name Homo sapiens (human). Lineage: Eukaryota; Metazoa; Chordata; Mammalia; Primates; Hominidae. The record is from RNAcentral.
UGAGACGCAGUUUCGCUCUUGUUGCCCAG